RNAcentral lists this transfer RNA (74 nucleotides) under Actinomycetaceae bacterium. RNAcentral's name for it is "tRNA-Lys". It matches the Rfam family "tRNA". From Rfam's summary of the family: Transfer RNA (tRNA) molecules are approximately 80 nucleotides in length. Their secondary structure includes four short double-helical elements and three loops (D, anti-codon, and T loops). Lineage: Bacteria; Bacillati; Actinomycetota; Actinomycetes; Actinomycetales; Actinomycetaceae. The record is from RNAcentral.
GCACCGCUAGCUCAACUGGCUAGAGCACUUGACUCUUAAUCAAGGGGUUCUGGGUUCGAGUCCCAGGCGGUGUA